AACGAACGCUGGCGGCAUGCCUAACACAUGCAAGUCGAACGAAGGCUUCGGCCUUAGUGGCGCACGGGUGAGUAACACGUGGGAAUCUGCCUUUCGGUUCGGGAUAACGUCUGGAAACGGACGCUAACACUGGAUACGCCCUUCGGGGGAAAGUUCACGCCGAGAGAGGAGCCCGCGUCCGAUUAGGUAGUUGGUGGGGUAACGGCCCACCAAGCCGACGAUCGGUAGCUGGUCUGAGAGGAUGAUCAGCCACACUGGGCCUGAGACACGGCCCAGACUCCUACGGGAGGCAACAGUGGGGAAUAUUGGACAAUGGGGGCAACCCUGAUCCAGCAAUGCCGCGUGGGUGAUGAAGGCCUUAGGGUUGGAAAGCUCUUUCGCACGCGACGAUGAUGACGGUAGCGUGAGAAGAAGCCCCGGCUAACUUCGUGCCAGCCGCCGCCGUAA
Molecule: ribosomal RNA, 447 nt
Filed under: uncultured bacterium
Lineage: Bacteria
Description: partial 16S ribosomal RNA
Rfam family: Bacterial small subunit ribosomal RNA
Source: RNAcentral